GCGUUGUUCGGAAUCACUGGGCGUAAAGGGUGCGUAGGCGGGUCUUUACGUCAGGGGUGAAAUCCUGGAGCUCAACUCCAGAACUGCCUUUGAUACCGAAGAUCUUGAGUUCGGGAGAGGUGAGUGGAACUGCGAGUGUAGAGGUGAAAUUCGUAGAUAUUCGCAAGAACACCAGUGGCGAAGGCGGCUCACUGGCCCGAUACUGACGCUGAGGCACGAAAGCGUGGGGAGCAAACAGG
Molecule: ribosomal RNA, 239 nt
Filed under: uncultured bacterium
Lineage: Bacteria
Description: partial 16S ribosomal RNA
Rfam family: Bacterial small subunit ribosomal RNA
Source: RNAcentral